AUGUUUGUGGGAUGCAUUCUGAGUAUUCUUGCUGACCGUCUGUGUGAUGUGUACAUGCACAUAAACGACGGAAAAAUUCUGUGGGAUGCACUGAAUGCAAAAUUCGGUGCAACAGAUGCAGGCAGUGAACUGUACAUCAUGGAGAGUUUUCAUGACUACAAGAUGGUGAAUAACCGUUCUGUGGUUGAACAAGCUCAUGAGAUACAGUGCAUUGUGAAGGAACUUGAACUCCUUAAAUGUGUUCUACCCGACAAAUUCGUGGCUGGGUGCAUGAUUGCAAAGUUGCCUCCUUCAUGGAGGAAUUUCGCCACAACUCUGAAGCAUAAGAGACAGGAGAUAUCAGUUGAAAAUCUGAUUGCAUCUCUUGAUGUUGAAGAAAAAGCUCGGGCUAAAGAUACCACUGAAAAAGGAGGUGAGGUUCAGCCUACUGCUAACAUGGUGCAGAGGUACCCACAGAACAAGAACAAAGGGAAGAACAAACCUGUUGUCAACAAGCCUACCAAGACUACUACCUUCAAGAAGAAGAAGUUCAACAAGGUUGAGCUAGAGUGCUACGCCUGUGGGAAGCCUGGACACUUUUCCAAGGAAUGCCCUGAACAUGCAGACCGCAGAGGGAAAACAAGCUCCAAGACUGUCAACAUGGUGACCGCUAGCAAUACUGAUGGGUAUGGUAAUUUACCUAUUGUGCUUUCAGUAUUUCAAUCAUCUUCGUGGUGGAUUGAUUCGGGUGCUAACGUUCAUGUGUGUGCUGACAUCUCCCUGUUUACUUCUUAUCAAGUCGCAAGGGAUUCUUCCGUCCUAAUGGGGAAUGGGUCACAUGCUUCUGUUCGUGGCAUUGGCACGGUGGAUCUGAAGUUUACUUCGGGAAAGAUCGUGCAACUAAGGAACAUGCAGCAUGUCCCUACUAUGAACAAGAAUCUAGUUAGCGGCUCCCUUCUAUGUCGAGAUGGAUUUAAGCUAGUUUUAGAGUCCAAUAAAGUAAUCGUGUCAAGAUUUGGACAAUUUAUAGGAAAAGGCUAUGAGUGCGGAGGCUUGUUCCGCUUUUCUCUUUCAGAUUUUUGCAAUAAGUCAAUAAACCAAAUUUGUGCUAGUGUUAAUGAUGAUACAAGUAUUUGGCACUCUCGUUUAUGUCAUAUUAAUUUUGGUUUAAUGUCUCGGCUAUCCAGCAUGAGUUUAAUUCCGAACUUCACAGUUGCCAAAGGUUCUAAGUGCCAUAGUUGUGUGCAAUCUAAGCAACCUCGAAAGCCUCAUAAGGCUGCCGAGGAGAGAAACUUGGCACCUCUAGAACUCAUACAUUCUGAUCUUUGUGAGAUGAAUGGUGUGUUGACAAAAGGUGGAAAGAGAUAUUUCAUGACUUUGAUUGAUGAUGCGACUAGAUUUUGCUAUGUUUAUUUGUUGCAAACUAAAGAUGAAGCAUUAGACUACUUUAAAAUCUAUAAAGCUGAAGUUGAAAAUCAACUAGAGAGAAAGAUCAAGCGUCUUAGGUCCGAUCGUGGUGGAGAGUAUUUUCCAAAAGUUUUUGAUGAAUUUUGUGAGGAACAUGGUAUUAUUCAUGAGAGGACGCCUCCCUAUUCACCUCAAUCAAAUGGAGUGGCCGAGAGGAAAAACCUCACAUUGACUGACUUGGUGAAUGUCAUGUUAGACACUGCUGGUUUAUCUAAGGCAUGGUGGGGGGAGGCUCUAUUGACUUCAUGUCAUGUCCUGAAUAGAGUUCCCAACAAUAAUAAAGAGAAAACCCCUUAUGAGGAGUGGGUUGGGAGAAAACCAUCACUUUAUUUUUUGCGCACUUGGGGAUGUUUGGCAAAGGUCAAUAUUCCUAUUCCUAAGAAACGCAAACUUGGACCAAAGACAGUGGAUUGUGUCUUUCUAGGGUAUGCUCAACGGAGCAUUGCUUAUAGGUUUUUAGUGGUAAAAUCUGAAGUACCUGAUAUGCAUGUUGAUACUAUAAUGGAAUCUCGUGAUGCAACAUUUUUUGAGAACAUAUUUCCUAUGAAAGAUAUGCAUAGCAUUUCUAGAUUUUCUUCUGAAAUAAUUCCUGAAUCUAGUACAACUGAUGAAUAUUUCGAACAAUCACAUGAGGAAGUCCUUGAGAAGGAUAACAAUGAAGUUCCUAGAAGGAACAAGAGACAAAGGAUUGCAAAAUCCUUUGGUGAUGAUUUCAUUGUAUACCUUGUGGACGACACACCCAAGACGAUUGCAGAAGCAUAUGCAUCUCCGGAUGUAGAUGAUUGGAAAGAAGCUGUUCAUAAUGAGAUGGACUCAAUUCUUUCUAAUGGAACUUGGGAACUUACUGAUAGACCAUAUGGUUGUAAACCUGUGGGCUGUAAGGGGGUGUUCAAAAAGAAGCUAAAGCCUGAUGGUACUAUUGAUAAGUACAAGGCGCGGCUAGUGGCCAAGGGCUACACUCAGAAAGAAGGCGAAGAUUACUUUGACACCUAUUCACCCGUUGCUAGAAUGACCACCAUUCGAGUGUUACUUUCCUUGGCUGCCUCUUAUGGUCUUAUCAUUCAUCAAAUGGAUGUAAAGACAGCUUUUCUCAAUGGAGAGUUGGAAGAGGAGAUCUAUAUGGAUCAGCCUGACGGGUUUGUGGUAAAGGGUGAAGAGAGAAAGGUGUGCAAGUUGUUAAAAUCUUUGUAUGGUCUGAAACAGGCACCUAAGCAAUGGCAUUAG
This 2670-nucleotide ribosomal RNA is filed under the name Triticum aestivum (bread wheat). RNAcentral describes it as "partial small subunit ribosomal RNA". The record is from RNAcentral. Lineage: Eukaryota; Viridiplantae; Streptophyta; Magnoliopsida; Poales; Poaceae.